This 429-nucleotide ribosomal RNA is filed under the name Actinomycetes bacterium. Its description in RNAcentral is "Actinobacteria bacterium partial 16S ribosomal RNA". It matches the Rfam family "Bacterial small subunit ribosomal RNA", at positions 355 to 776 of the family's 1533-position model. Lineage: Bacteria; Bacillati; Actinomycetota; Actinomycetes. The record is from RNAcentral.
UAGGGAAUCUUCCGCAAUGGGCGAAAGCCUGACGGAGCAACGCCGCGUGAGUGAUGAAGGUCUUCGGAUCGUAAAACUCUGUUAUUAGGGAAGAACAAAUGUGUAAGUAACUAUGCACGUCUUGACGGUACCUAAUCAGAAAGCCACGGCUAACUACGUGCCAGCAGCCGCGGCAAUACGUAGGUGGCAAGCGUUAUCCGGAAUUAUUGGGCGUAAAGCGCGCGUAGGCGGUUUUUUAAGUCUGAUGUGAAAGCCCACGGCUCAACCGUGGGGGGUCAUUGGAAACUGGAAAACUUGAGUGCAGAAGAGGAAAGUGGAAUUCCAUGUGUAGCGGUGAAAUGCGCAGAGAUGUGGAGGAACGCCAGUGGCGAAGGCGACUUUCUGGUCUGUAACUGACGCUGAUGUGCGAAAGCGUGGGGAUCAAACAGG